This 223-nucleotide long non-coding RNA is filed under the name Elaeis guineensis (African oil palm). RNAcentral's name for it is "long non-coding RNA (EGUI_LNC062308)". Lineage: Eukaryota; Viridiplantae; Streptophyta; Magnoliopsida; Arecales; Arecaceae. The record is from RNAcentral.
UAUGCAGGUUCUUUAAGCACCAAAUAAAGAUCUGGUCGAUGUGACAAGUGUUACUCGAUGUCUGUAAUCCACCUUCAAAAUUUAACAAAUCAUAGAUUUUUUUUUUUUCUCGCAGCUAACUAGCUAAUCUGGAUCGAUCUAGUAGGGUCUAUAGAUUCAAGGACAAUUUGGAUAUGGUGUAGAUUUGAUCACAUUCUGAUCAUGGCAACAAUAUGAGAUCAGA